Molecule: ribosomal RNA, 341 nt
Filed under: uncultured Acetivibrio sp.
Lineage: Bacteria; Bacillati; Bacillota; Clostridia; Acetivibrionales; Acetivibrionaceae
Description: bacterial SSU rRNA
Rfam family: Bacterial small subunit ribosomal RNA
Source: RNAcentral
UGGGGGAUAUUGCGGCAAUGGGGGAAACCCUGACGCAGCAACGCCGCGUGAAGGAAGAAGGUUUUCGGAUCGUAAACUUCUGUUCUUAGGGAAGAAGAAAGUGACGGUACCUAAGGAGCAAGCCACGGCUAACUACGUGCCAGCAGCCGCGGUAAUACGUAGGUGGCAAGCGUUGUCCGGAUUUACUGGGUGUAAAGGGCGCGUAGGCGGGCGUGCAAGUCAGUCGUGAAAUGCCGGGGCUUAACUCCGGAGCUGCGAUUGAAACUGCAGGUCUUGAGUAUCGGAGAGGAAAGCGGAAUUCCUAGUGUAGCGGUGAAAUGCGUAGAUAUUAGGAGGAACAC